UACGUAGGGCGCAAGCGUUGUCCGGAAUUAUUGGGCGUAAAGAGCUCGUAGGCGGCUUGUCACGUCGGUUGUGAAAGCCCGGGGCUUAACCCCGGGUCUGCAGUCGAUACGGGCUAGCUAGAGUGUGGUAGGGGAGAUCGGAAUUCCUGGUGUAGCGGUGAAAUGCGCAGAUAUCAGGAGGAACACCGGUGGCGAAGGCGGAUCUCUGGACAGUUCCUGACACUGAGGCACGAAGGCCAGGGGAGCAAACGGG
RNAcentral lists this ribosomal RNA (253 nucleotides) under uncultured bacterium. Its description in RNAcentral is "partial 16S ribosomal RNA". It matches the Rfam family "Bacterial small subunit ribosomal RNA", at positions 524 to 776 of the family's 1533-position model. The record is from RNAcentral.